Molecule: ribosomal RNA, 228 nt
Filed under: uncultured bacterium
Lineage: Bacteria
Description: partial 16S ribosomal RNA
Rfam family: Bacterial small subunit ribosomal RNA
Source: RNAcentral
CGAACAGUUGGAAACGACUGCUAAUACCGCAUACGAUCUGACCUCGGCAUCGAGGAUGGAUGAAAGGUGGCCUCUAUUUAUAAGCUAUCACUGAAGGAGGGGAUUGCGUCAGAUUAGCUAGUUGGAGGGGUAACGGCCCACCAAGGCGAUGAUCAGUAGCCGGUCUGAGAGGAUGAACGGCCACAUUGGAACUGAGACACGGUCCAGACUCCUACGGGAGGCAGCAUG